CGCCAGACUCCUACGGGAGGCAGCAGUGGGGGAUAUUGCACAAUGGGGGGAACCCUGAUGCAGCGACGCCGCGUGGGUGAAGGAGCGUUUCGGCGCGUAAAGCCCUAUCGGCAGGGAAGAAGGAGGACGGUACCUGACUAAGAAGCCCCGGCUAACUACGUGCCAGCAGCCGCGGUAAUACGUAGGGGGCAAGCGUUAUCCGGAUUCACUGGGUGUAAAGGGAGCGUAGACGGCGACGCAAGUCUGGAGUGAAAGCCCGGGGCCCAACCCCGGGACUGCUCUGGAAACUGCGUCGCUGGAGUACGGGAGGGGCAGGCGGAAUUCCUGGUGUAGCGGUGAAAUGCGUAGAUAUCAGGAGGAACACCGGCGGCGAAGGCGGCCUGCUGGACCGUGACUGACGUUGAGGCUCGAGAGCGUGGGGAGCAAACAGGAUUAGAUACCCCCGUAAA
RNAcentral lists this ribosomal RNA (449 nucleotides) under uncultured bacterium. Its description in RNAcentral is "bacterial SSU rRNA". It matches the Rfam family "Bacterial small subunit ribosomal RNA", at positions 329 to 794 of the family's 1533-position model. The record is from RNAcentral.